This 253-nucleotide ribosomal RNA is filed under the name uncultured bacterium. Its description in RNAcentral is "partial 16S ribosomal RNA". It matches the Rfam family "Bacterial small subunit ribosomal RNA", at positions 524 to 776 of the family's 1533-position model. The record is from RNAcentral.
GACGUAGGGCGCGAGCGUUGUCCGGAUUUAUUGGGCGUAAAGAGCUCGUAGGUGGUUUGUCGCGUUGUUCGUGAAAACUCACAGCUCAACUGUGGGCGUGCGGGCGAUACGGGCAGACUUGAGUACUGCAGGGGAGACUGGAAUUCCUGGUGUAGCGGUGGAAUGCGCAGAUAUCAGGAGGAACACCGGUGGCGAAGGCGGGUCUCUGGGCAGUAACUGACGCUGAGGAGCGAAAGCGUGGGGAGCGAACAGG